CCGCCGCCAGCCUCUCCUUCAUCAUCCAUUCACUCAUUCAUUACAUUUUGUAUACUGAAUACAAACUAAGUGCUGAACUUUAUUCUGCUGCUGAGAAGAUAAGUCCCUUGCGCAUGGAGCUCACACUGAAUUUUGACACCCAGUAAGCAAGAAAAUAAAUAGAUAAGAAAAUUUCCGAGGAUGAUAAGUGCUAUCUAAAUAAAUAAAUAAAUAAAUAAAUAAAUAAAUAAAUAAAUAAAUCUGGGGAAGCAAUAAGGAGUAGUUACUUCAGAUUGGUUGGUCAGGGUUGGUCUUUGUUGGGAGGAAAAAUGGCAUUUUCACUGAAUGACAGAGACAAGUCAACCACAUAAAGAUAUGGGGACAGAACUUUUCAGGGGCACGAACAGGAAGGGCAAAGGCCCUGAGACAGGAAGGGGCUUGGGGUCGGGGCAACCAACACGCGUCGCCAGGAGCAGGAUAGGAGAGGAUUUCGGCAGUAAGUGGGCGCCUCAUCAGCCUGGCGUGCCGGAGGAGCAGUAGAGGGGCCCUGAGAGACGAGUGAUGGGGCUCUGGUAAGCUCUGGAAAGCUCCCUCUGGCCGCGGAGUGGAGAACUGGUGUCGAAGGACAGAGGCAGUUUUAACACCUGGAGCUGCAGGGUCCCAGCCAGGGUGCGGGCGCGGAGAGGGCAGACGGGGGAUUCGGGGCGUGCUUGCAGAUGGAGCCCUAUCUUGUCACUGGGUCGCCUACGGGGCUGCCUGGGGCCAGGAAAAACGGAUUCGAGGCGCCGCCCUCGGCCUUACCACUCCCUCACUGCCCUUUCAUCAUUAUCCAAAACCCGGGCAGCUGCCGUUCACUGGGGAUUUGCACGCAGAUCCUUACUUCAUCAACUGGCUUGUCUCGACAGGUCUAACAGCAGCGUGGAGUGAGGUACUUACCCGGCCUUGCCCGGGCGUGAGAAGACUGACUGCACGUGGAGCGGGAGCCCGCAGGUACUCAGCGGUGAGCAGGAGACGGCACGUGGACAGAGCCCGAUUGCGGCUGCGCCGCGUCCACCCGGGGCCUCCGCAGGCUCCGCCUCCAGCCCCGCCGCAGGCUCCGCCUCCAGCCCUGCCGCGCAGGCGCUCUCCAGCCGUUAUUUGGAGGACAAGGACAAGGGUCCGCCUCUGCUCCCGCCUUCCAGCUCGGAAGCCUGACCCCUGGAGACUUUCCUCUGGGAGAACAGAAAUCCAGAGUUUUGGGAUCCAAGCCCCUCAGGUCAGGGUGGCAAAGAGCUCAGAUGAAAUGUGUUGCAUUACACCGGCACCAAUAAGUCACACUAUCUAUGUUGUGACACACCGAAUAUUACUAAUUGUCAAUCACAAACCACAAGUCUUGUCAAGGCGCUCCCUUCUCAACGGGCUGGUUCAAACCUGAAGUGAUUUUUAAUCAAGUGUUAAUAAUACAGCAUCUGUCAGUGGACGGUGUGUAUCAGGCAAUCAGAAAAAGUGAACAUAUGACACGGCAAAUUUUAAUGUUUUCAUUUUCCGUUCUUCCCAAUUAUCGGUGGGAUUUCUGUCAGCCUGAAAAGUGCACUGACAUUAUUGCGGGUGAACUUCAC
Vulpes vulpes (red fox) is the source of this 1577-nucleotide long non-coding RNA. NCBI's taxonomy places the organism in Eukaryota, Metazoa, Chordata, Mammalia, Carnivora, Canidae. The record is from Ensembl.